This 420-nucleotide ribosomal RNA is filed under the name uncultured bacterium. Its description in RNAcentral is "bacterial SSU rRNA". It matches the Rfam family "Bacterial small subunit ribosomal RNA", at positions 362 to 775 of the family's 1533-position model. The record is from RNAcentral.
UUUUCGGCAAUGGGGGGAACCCUGACCGAGCAACGCCGCGUGAAGGAAGAAGGAAUUCGUUCUGUAAACUUCUGUUAUAAAGGAAGAAAGACGGAUGGAGGAAAUGAUAUCCGUGUGACGGUACUUUAUGAGAAAGCCACGGCUAACUACGUGCCCGGAGCCGCGGUAAUACGUAGGUGGCAAGCUGUAUCCGGAAUUAUGGGGCGUAAAGAGGGAGCAGGCGGCAGCAAAGGUCUGUGGUGAAAGACUGAAGCUUAACUUCAGUAAGCCAUAGAAACCAGGCAGCUAGAGUGCAGGAGAGGAUCGUGGAAUUCCAUGUGUAGCGGUGAAAUGCGUAGAUAUAUGGAGGAACACCAGUGGCGAAGGCGACGAUCUGGCCUGCAACUGACGCUCAGUCCCGAAAGCGUGGGGAGCAAAUAG